Pseudophryne corroboree (corroboree frog) is the source of this 1350-nucleotide long non-coding RNA. RefSeq lists it as uncharacterized. The transcript is spliced from 3 exons. Lineage: Eukaryota; Metazoa; Chordata; Amphibia; Anura; Myobatrachidae. The record is from RefSeq and is a predicted model, not a curated record.
UGGGGUGUAUUUGGGAAUCCUGUAAAAGAAGAGGAGAAGACCAUAAAUCAAUAAAUCUGUGGAAGAAAAGAAAAGAUGGAUUUCAGCCUAAAUUUUCUGAGGAUAGUUCUGUCGAUUGUAAUGAGCAGGACAGGGACAGCAACUUCAUAUACAAAUGCAGGAUGUAGAUUCACUGAUCGAAGGAGGAGGAGGAGGAGAUUGUUUAACCAUAGGAAAAAUUUGUUCAGAAUUCCUAAAACCAAAGUACGAAAACGGUACAGAUUAUCUAGUGCUGCAAUACUUGAGCUAUACAAUAAAAUCAAGGAAGACAUCACACCACACACAAAGAGAACUAAGGCUAUCAGUGGUCUCACUAAACUUUUGGUAACUUUACAUUAUCUUGCUUCUGGCACGUUUCAGAGUACAGUGUCAUCAGUUGGCGGUGUGAGCCAAUCCUCUUUUAGCCGGUUUUUUGAGAAGGUGUUAGAUGCCAUCCUUAAGCACACCUCAGAUUACAUUCAUUUCCCAAAAACAACUUCAGAGUGGAUAAACCUAAAAAGAGGUUUUUUUGAAAAGGCAAAGUUCCCAAAUGUGGUUGGGGCCAUCGACUGUACCCACAUUCCAAUUUCGCCUUCACACGAAUUAGAUGAGGUUUGCAGGAACAGGAAAAACUUUCACUCGAUGAACAUUCAGGCCAUCUGUGACCACAAUUAUAAAUUUUUAAACAUCUUUGCAGCUUUUCCGGGGAGUACACAUGACGCCUACAUUUUAAGGCAUUCAAAUGUGUACCAAAAAUUUGAAAACGGUGACUAUCCAGACUGCUGGUUACUAGGGGAUUCAGGAUAUGGCUGCAGGCCCUGGCUAUUGACUCCUGUUCCAAGACCCAGGCAUAGAAAUGAAAAAAAAUAUAAUAGAGCUCAUAUUACAACUCGUGGAAUAAUUGAGCGAGCUUUUGGCAUCCUAAAAAGUCGCUUCCGGUGUAUUUCACAUUCAGGUGGCACUUUACUAUAUUCUGCUGCAAAAGUCUGUAAAAUCUUCACCGUAUGCUGCAUUCUUCACAACAUGUGUAUUGACUAUAGCAUUGAAUGGGAGCGAAAAGUAAGGGUCACUGAGGUAAAUGCCUCAAAUCGCUCUGAUGAAUAUCAUGGUAGUACCUUACAUGGUGCUGGUGCUCGUUCCCAAUUGAUUCAAAGUUAUUUUAGUUAAUGUGGGCAAGAAACCUCAGCCUUUAUGAAUGUUUUUCUGAUUUAUGUGUUAAUGCAGUUGCUCAGAAUAGGUUACCCAUUGGUUCUCUUGGCAGUGUUUAUUAUAUUUCUGUUGUUUAAAAAAAAAAAAAAAAAAAAGAAUAUCUACUUAAAAAAAAUACUGUGA